UAUGAGGUCAAUGACAGGCCAGCUUUGGAGGCCGAUCCUCAUCUCUAUGACCAUAGAGUGUUGGGUCCAAAGCAAGAGCUUUUCUUUUGUCACCACCUCAGGAAAAAGGAAUGACUGCUGCCUUGUCUCAAUUGAAUGCAUUGGUCAAGGAAAAUAACAUGUUUUUUUGGCGGUGGAAGGAUAUGUUUGAGAUUAGAUUUUGGAUUGAACUUACAUACAAUAUAUCAUAUGUUCUAUUUCAAAAGGUUGCUGCUAUUUCCGGAUCAUAAGAGGUAUAGCAUGGAAAGGGAAAAUAAGACCUGUGCAGUCACAGGCUUCAUCUACAGAUUA
This is a long non-coding RNA of Rosa rugosa (rugosa rose), 330 nucleotides long. RefSeq lists it as uncharacterized. The transcript has 3 exons. The record is from RefSeq and is a predicted model, not a curated record. Lineage: Eukaryota; Viridiplantae; Streptophyta; Magnoliopsida; Rosales; Rosaceae.